GUCCCGGGUGGCGACCUUCCGCAGGGGAUGAAACCACCUCGGCAUUCUACCCACAAGGCGGCCGUGCCGAGUAGCCGUUAUGGCUUCAAUGAAGGCCACGGUUUUCCAAGGGUAGAUACAUCUUUUUUU
This 129-nucleotide unclassified non-coding RNA is filed under the name Methanocaldococcus jannaschii. Its description in RNAcentral is "HgcA". Lineage: Archaea; Methanobacteriati; Methanobacteriota; Methanococci; Methanococcales; Methanocaldococcaceae. The record is from RNAcentral.